This is an RNA transcript of Coffea arabica (coffee), 2838 nucleotides long. RefSeq lists it as uncharacterized. NCBI's taxonomy places the organism in Eukaryota, Viridiplantae, Streptophyta, Magnoliopsida, Gentianales, Rubiaceae. The record is from RefSeq and is a predicted model, not a curated record.
UCCACAGCCCCACAACCACUAGCAGUUUGAUGUUGUCGCCACUCGCCACCGGCUACUCACUCAAUUCUCAAUAGUUCCAUUGUCAAUGUCAAUUUCCUCACCUUUAAACCAAAUUUAAGGCCAAAUUUAAGCCUUGAACCAUAGAACAACCUUCAAAGUUUUCAGCUUUAUGACCUUGUCCAUUUCUUAAUCUGGAAUGAUGGCUGAUUGCCUCUGUAGCAUUCUCAACUCCCGCGCUAUCACCAGCCUCUCCCUCCUCAUCCCUCGCUGUCCACCUCAGAAUCCCUUUAUUUCCCUCCCAGCUCUUUCCUUUGCCAACCCCAGGGUUCCAAGAAGAAGGAAAGAAAAGCAACUUUUGUUCUGUAUAAGUAAUAAUGAAUCCUCGUCCUCAAUUUCUUCCUCAUCGAAAAUUGACAUCAUUUCCACCCGUGAGCAUUCUGAUGGUAGUAUAGUCUUUCAGUUUGGGGACCCCCGUGAGGCUAUGAAGGAUGAUGAAUUAAAGCAAUCCAGUUUGAGCAAUAAAGGAGGGGAAAGUGACGGUCAGGUGGAAUCUAGGGUGGUGAAGGUUUUGGAUGGUGAUCACGAGAGGAAGGUUAUAGUCAAAAAAAUGGAAAGAGAAGUCAGGGUUCACAGCUCAAAUUUGGUCGCUGAUAGUGGCACUUCAGGGGUUGUUAGUACUAAUGAAGAGAGCAGUACUAGUAGUUUUCUGGAAGGACCUAGUAAAUCAAGUGAGAAGUUAAAUGCUGAAGUGCCUGUUUCUGGUUUAAGUGUAGAAAAAGUUUGGAACGUUUCUAGUUCCGAGUUAAAUGCAAAUACUCUUAUAGAUGCCGAUGAUACUCUGUCAACAGUCUCUGUGCUUGAAAAACGUAGUAAAAAAGGAAGUGGCGAAACUUCUGAGGUAUUACUUGAUGGUAAAGGAGAUAAUGAAGUUCUGCAACAGUUGGUAUCUGUGAAGCCUGAGUCGCCUACAGAAGUAACAGAUACUGUUCACCAGGAAAGUGAUUCCGAGAGUGUUGAACUUCUGGAUUUGCCUGGAGAUAGUGAGUCUCAUAGUUUAGAAUCUGGGAUAAAUAAUAUAAUCAUGGAUGAUAGCAGUGACAAUGACACCAUUGAAGUCAUGCCUGUGUCUCCUCAAACUGAUGCUGAACCAACUCUUGAUGAGGAAGCUGGUUGUAUUGCAGUUGACACUUUUGGAGAAGAAGAUACAUCCAUCCAAAUAUCAGAGAUCAAAAGUGACCAGUCAAUCGUACUCUCAGAAGCAGGAAUAGGUCUGGACAAGUUACAAAGAAGUGACAAUUCUGAAAGAUCAAGUCUUGAAAUCAUACAAUUGGAAUCCCCGGAAGUUCCAGUGGAUGGUGAGGAAAUCCCCAUAGCAGAAAUUGUUUUAUCAUCUGCUGCUGCAUUGUUGCCACAUCCCGCUAAGCUAUUGACGGGUGGAGAGGAUGCAUACUUUAUCUCUGGCCGAUAUUGGUUGGGAAUAGCAGAUGGGGUUGGCCGAUGGUCGGAUCGCGGUAUUGAUGCAGGAGUUUAUGCCAGGGAACUCAUGGAGAAUUGUGAAAAGAUUGUCUCAGAGGGCAACGGAUCCAUAACUAUAGGAAGAGGAAGAAGAAGAGUAAGAGUAAGAGCCACCCCAGAAGAGGUCCUUAGUUUAAGUGUUGCUGAGUCCCAGUCUCCUGGAUCCUCAACUGUGUUGGUUGCUCACUUUGAUGGUCAGGCCCUUCAUGUGGUUAAUAUUGGAGAUUCUGGAUUUCUAAUACUCAGAAAUGGUGUGGUUUUCGAAAGGUCACAUCGGAUGACCUACAAGUUCAAUUUCCCAUAUCAGAUUCAAAGGGGCCAUGACCCAUCCGAACUUUUGGAGGAGUACGAGAUUGAAUUGGAGGAGGGUGACGUUAUCAUUAUUGCAACAGACGGACUCUUUGACAAUUUGUAUGAGCAAGAGAUAGUAUCAAUAGUCUCAGCUUCAUUGAGCGCUGGUAGACGACCAAAGGUCUGCUGCAUCUUGAUCAAGAUUUCUGAGUUUUGAUGAGAUCCGGACAGAAAAAUUAGCUAAUCUCUCUCUCCAUGCUCCACCACUUGCAAAUUCGGCAUUGUUUUAGCAUGAAAUGACCCAUGAGAAAUAGCUCCCUCAGCUGUGACCCAGUCAAACUGAGUGCGUUAGCAAGAGGGCCCUUCAUUCUCUUUCUCCGUUGUUUGUCUUCUCUUAUGCUUACCUGGGGAGAGGGGGAGGGAGGUGGCUGCUUGGGGCGUUUAGUAGGGAACCGACCCAACUCCGGGCCGCUCAUUAUUCAGCAUCCUUGUGCAAUGCAAUAUCACGUAAUUUCCCAGGGCACACAUUUGCAAGCGUUGUGGUUCCUGCCAAUUUGUUUAACCUGCAACUGCAUGCUUGUGAAACAUUCAUUAGAAUUGCGGAAAUGUUGGCGGCAGGAGCACAAGAGGUGGGCAGAUCCUCUACCGAAAGAAGUCCGUUUACCGAUGCAGCUCGCGCAGCUGGCGAUCCAACGCGCAAAGGUGGGAAGCUUGAUGACGUAACUGUGAUUGUAUCAUUGGUCCGAAAGGAAUACAGCAGCCAUGGCCAUGUGUUGCGAUCUUGAUGUUCAACAACUCUAGCUUCUGUCAUCAUCAUCAUAUCAUGUUGUAUCAUAUUCAAACUGACAUCAAGAAAACUCUCUGUGCUGUUGUGGUGUAUAUAAUCCUGAAGUAGUUUUCCAUAGACAGAUUAUUGAUAAAUAGCACGAUUGAUUGGCUGUAUGUAUAGCGCAGCGCACGCAUAAACGUUUCUGGAGAGUGGAUUUCAUCUGUAUACCCAAUAAUAAUAAAGUAUUCUGUUCUAGUACAUCA